RNAcentral lists this transfer RNA (73 nucleotides) under Balaenoptera acutorostrata scammoni. RNAcentral describes it as "tRNA-Arg (TCT) (tRNA-Arg-TCT-6-1)". It matches the Rfam family "tRNA". Rfam says of the family: Transfer RNA (tRNA) molecules are approximately 80 nucleotides in length. The record is from RNAcentral. Lineage: Eukaryota; Metazoa; Chordata; Mammalia; Artiodactyla; Balaenopteridae.
GGCUCUGUGGUGCAAUUGAUAGCGCAUUGGACUUCUAAUUCAAAGGUUGUGGGUUCGAGUCCCAUCAGAGUCA